Molecule: long non-coding RNA, 1463 nt
Filed under: Coffea arabica (coffee)
Lineage: Eukaryota; Viridiplantae; Streptophyta; Magnoliopsida; Gentianales; Rubiaceae
Description: long non-coding RNA (CARA_LNC002396)
Source: RNAcentral
CUCGAUAAGGGCUCGACUCGGCUCGUUUACAGAGAGAAACGAGCCGAGCUCGAAUUCUAAUCAAUACUCGGGUAAAACAUGAGCCGAGGCUCGUAGAAGCUCGGUAGGCUCGAAAGAUAGGGACAUUUUCGUCAUUUCAUUGUGUAUGUGGUACUCUAACUAAGUCAUCUCCCAUGUAGCCCUAAUACUUCCUUUCCUCUUUUGGUCCUUCGUUUUCCCGUCUCAUAGCUGUCACCCCGCAGCCGCAUCCCAAUCCUCGCAGCCUCCAUUCUCACGCCGCACCCCGCAGCCGCCAUUCUCACCGCCAGGCGCCAUCCACUGACCCAUUUGCUCUGAAAGUUAAAGAAUCAUCACAGCCUUCAGACAAGCAGGCUUCUCGAGAAGGUGAGCAGAAUCAAUACUAGUAGUAGUAAUGGUGCUAUUUAUGAAAGGUCCGGGUACAAAAACUUUAUGGGGGGUUUCUGUGAUUAAUCAUAAGCAGAAAACUGCAUCUGAAGGGCUGUUGGUUUCAGAUGGUCGAUGAUGAAAGAAAGAAAUCAUAGGCUAAAAAUCAGAUAGGGGCAACCACCCUUGAAGAAAUCCCCAGUCUCUCUGAUAGCCUCAUUCUUCACAGAGCUGAAAUCUUAAGGCACCGUUUGGAUCGAAGCAAAGGGAAAGCUGGAAAGGAAAGGACUCGUAGAGGCCCCAUCUCCUUCUCAACUUGAUCCCCUCAGGAUAGGCAUACAGUCCAGAAAGAGAGAAAAAGAUUGAAGGCAAUAACUCGGGGCAGACCGAGCCAUUUGCCAAGAAGGAAUCCUACUCAAUUCUGUAGGGCCUCGAACUGGUUGGAAAUGGAAAGUGUUUUUCGCGAGCUCGAGCUCGAGUUUCGAGCUCGGCUCGAUUUCAAACUCGAGUUCGAGCCAGAGCUCGAGUUUUUUACCACCACAUCGAGUCGAGUUCGAGCACCUUGUGAAGCUCGAAUUAGUAAUCGAGCGAGCUCGAGCCAGCUCGAUUGUCCUAUGCUCGAGCUCGACUCGGCUCGUUUAACAGCUCUAGUUUCAGCUAAUUUGAUCGUUUCCUUGAUUCGAGCCAAGUGUUGGACACUAGCGUCGAAGACAUGGAGGAAUAAGGGCGCGUGAGCUUGUACACGCUGAACAUCUGUUUUCCAUCCUAAGAACGACUAGUUUUUCACUAAUCUGGAACAAUUAAAACUAACAAAUUACGCUGGCAAGAUAAAACACAGAACCUCAUAGACCCAGAAGAAGUGGUAUGUUAAUGCAAGAUUAUCGAGUGAUGCAACUGAUUCUGGAAACAGAUUUGAAGUAUUCGGAAGAAAUAUCAGCUUGCCUUCAAAACAAGCAAGUUAUGGCGCCUCGUCUUGUAAACAAAUCAAACAAUUCAAAUAAAAGUGAUUUGACAAAGAUUUUUGCUCAUUCCUUCCUCCAUGUGUUAUUUCUUAGUCUCUUAUUUUACGUCAACUUUUA